AUGAGAUCAGCUCAGCUGUACCGGGAAAAGAAGCUUUCAGUGGGUCUUAUCACUGGUCAGAUGCAAGAUUUUCCUUCUUGGAAAGGCAAAGGAGUGGAUGUGCUGGAACAACCAGCCUGCUCUGAUCAAUUUGCACAAUACACAGUGAAGGGAGCCGAGGAGUGGAGAGAGUCUCUCCAUCACAGAUGCUUAGCACCAGUUGGAGGGCAUGUGGUCCCCACUCUGUGUCUUCCCUCUAAUGGGAAAGAUCUUUAUAAUCUCUGCCUCAUCAAAUAGAACUCCUCAUCCUCAACAUCACAGUCAUGAUUCUGCCUUCCCGCCCUGGCUCGGGAAUUCCUCCAGCUCACCUCACCAAAAGGUCUCUCUUGUCUCACAGCUGCAGAGCAUUCCAGAGACACUGGCCCAAAACAACCCUUCGGCUUGCUACCAGUAACUCUGGAAGGAAAUCUCAACAGCACUGUCCCACGUGCUACAAUUUGGCCUUGAAAAGCAUCAUUGAUUUCCGAGUGCCCCUGAGUACUCUUGUUUCUGUCAGAAGCAGUGAUUGCUGUGGAUUCGCUGUAUUCACGUCAUCUGGCUUUUGAGGUGAGCCUGAGAGCUGGGAUAUUAACUUAUUUGUUGGUCCCAUACAAUACAGCGUCCAACCCAACACCCAGGAACAGGAGAGGAGGAGAACCUUUGUUUUUUAAAAGGUAGGAGCAGUUGCUGUGCAGUCUUGGUUAUACAAGGGAUUGUAUCCAGCUUCUUUGGUCUGCAGCAUGCUGACCGUGCAGAGCUUGAGAAAGGACGAGAGAUUGCAAUCCCACAGCAGAUCUAUACAGCCCCUCUCAAUGGCAUGGAAUCUUUUCCAUGCAGCCAUUCAGGAGCAUGUCAGUGGAUACCAACCUCUCUCACGUGACAAGGGUAUUUAACUGUCAGUAAGUCUGACCUAUGUCAGGUGACUUUGGCCAGGAAAUAAAGUUCUGUCUCUUAUCAA
Non-coding RNA from Caretta caretta (loggerhead turtle), 976 nucleotides. NCBI's taxonomy places the organism in Eukaryota, Metazoa, Chordata, Testudines, Cheloniidae. The record is from RefSeq and is a predicted model, not a curated record.